This 490-nucleotide ribosomal RNA is filed under the name uncultured bacterium. Its description in RNAcentral is "partial 16S ribosomal RNA". It matches the Rfam family "Bacterial small subunit ribosomal RNA", at positions 28 to 507 of the family's 1533-position model. The record is from RNAcentral.
GAUGAACGCUAGCUACAGGCUUAACACAUGCAAGUCGCGGGGCAGCAUGGGGGUUGCUUGCAAUCCCCGAUGGCGACCGGCGCACGGGUGAGUAACGCGUAUCCAACCUGCCCUUCACCACGGGAUAACCCGGCGAAAGUCGGACUAAUACCGUAUGUUGUCCAUUGACGGCAUCCGAUUUGGACGAAAGGCUUGGCGGUGAGGGAUGGGGAUGCGUCCGAUUAGCCAGACGGCGGGGUAACGGCCCACCGUGGCUACGAUCGGUAGGGGUUCUGAGAGGAAGGUCCCUCACACGGGAACUGAGACACGGUCCAGACUCCUACGGGAGGCAGCAGUGAGGAAUACUAGUCAAUGGGCGUAAGCCUGAACCAGCCAAGUAGCGUGCAGGAUGACGGCCCUAUGGGUUGUAAACUGCUUUUAUGCGGGGAUAAAGUGGCCCACGUGUGGGCUUUUGCAGGUACCGCAUGAAUAAGGACCGGCUAAUUCCGUG